UGGUAUAUAUAGAGAGAGAGAGACAUCUGAGUGUAGGACUCCGCCGCCCCCACCGCUUCACCGCCCUACAACGGCGAUGAGUGAACUCGGCGGCCACUGCACUUCACCACCAUACCAGCUGAAGACGGUGAUGAUCAUUGGAAUACUCGGUUCUGCGACCAGACUCCUCCCUUUCACUUCCUACUUAUCUCUGCCCUACCAGCCGAGGUUGAACCAGUGAUUAAAAAAUGAGGUGGAGGAGGAUGUAGUGGUUGCUCAUAAAAUCAAGUUUCCAUUCUCAUGUCUUUCUGAGGCUGGCCGAAGAGUUGAAGUAACAAAAAGAGAGGGGCCAUUUUGCAGCUCCUAUUGGACAAAUUAAUUAAGACUACGCACUGCCAAAAACAACCACCUAAAUCUGUAUUUUACGGAUAAUGAAAGGAGGGUGUAGACAUCGAUGUUACCCAUAACGCUUCACCAUUUGCGCUCAUAAACGAUUAUGUUUUUUAGAUGUCGAAGUUCACAAGGUUUAAUGCGAAUGAGCUCGACGCUAGGGCAAGAUACCAAUUACUUCAAACAAGGCCCGAGGAGUACCCCAGACAAGCGUGCACGGACCUUUUAACCUUGGUAAACCAGCUCGACCGAUUCAACAACAUCGUUACGGGACCACUAAGAGUUGCAUUAACCACUCGGCUUCAGUCGGUGCAUCAAUGCACCAUGGAGUUCUAUAGUACCUUUACCUUCACUUCAAGGUGUGACCCGUUCGACAACAAAGGGGUUGC
Long non-coding RNA from Helianthus annuus (common sunflower), 758 nucleotides. RefSeq lists it as uncharacterized. The record is from RefSeq and is a predicted model, not a curated record. The transcript is spliced from 5 exons. NCBI's taxonomy places the organism in Eukaryota, Viridiplantae, Streptophyta, Magnoliopsida, Asterales, Asteraceae.